UUAGUACGGCGAGUGAGCGGCAAAAGCUCAAAUUUGAAAUCUGGCACCUUCGGUGUCCGAGUUGUAAUUUGAAGAAGGUAACUUUGGAGUUGGCUCUUGUCUAUGUUCCUUGGAACAGGACGUCACAGAGGGUGAGAAUCCCGUGCGAUGAGAUGCCCAAUUCUAUGUAAAGUGCUUUCGAAGAGUCGAGUUGUUUGGGAAUGCAGCUCUAAGUGGGUGGUAAAUUCCAUCUAAAGCUAAAUAUUGGCGAGAGACCGAUAGCGAACAAGUACAGUGAUGGAAAGAUGAAAAGAACUUUGAAAAGAGAGUGAAAAAGUACGUGAAAUUGUUGAAAGGGAAGGGCUUGAGAUCAGACUUGGUAUUUUGCGAUCCUUUCCUUCUUGGUUGGGUUCCUCGCAGCUUACUGGGCCAGCAUCGGUUUGGAUGGUAGGAUAAUGACUAAGGAAUGUGGCUCUACUUCGGUGGAGUGUUAUAGCCUUGGUUGAUACUGCCUGUCUAGACCGAGGACUGCGUCUUUUGACUAGGAUGUUGGCAUAAUGAUCUUAAGCCACAAAAACAUGAAAAACGG
Molecule: ribosomal RNA, 568 nt
Filed under: Debaryomyces sp. YE-25
Lineage: Eukaryota; Fungi; Ascomycota; Pichiomycetes; Serinales; Debaryomycetaceae
Description: eukaryotic LSU rRNA
Rfam family: Eukaryotic large subunit ribosomal RNA
Source: RNAcentral